UACGUAGGUGACAAGCGUUGUCCGGAUUUACUGGGCGUAAAGAGCGCGCAGGCGGUCGAUCAAGUCGAGUGUGAAAGCCCCCGGCUCAACUGGGGAGGGUCAUUCGAUACUGAUCGACUCGAAGGCAGGAGAGGGUAGUGGAAUUCCCGGUGUAGAGGUGAAAUUCGUAGAUAUCGGGAGGAACACCAGUGGCGAAGGCGGCGACCUGGGCCAAUAUUGACGCUGAGGUGCGAAAGCGUGGGGAUCAAACAGG
RNAcentral lists this ribosomal RNA (253 nucleotides) under uncultured bacterium. RNAcentral describes it as "partial 16S ribosomal RNA". It matches the Rfam family "Bacterial small subunit ribosomal RNA", at positions 524 to 776 of the family's 1533-position model. The record is from RNAcentral.